GCGACGGCGAGCGCGCGACUGGAGACAGCGCGCGCAUGGUUGGUCGGACGAGCAUGACCGCAUGCGCGGGGGAGAGGGAUAUGAGUUCAUCUGCCCCGUCACUAACAGCCUACAACUGACCAUCCUCAGGCCGGCGAAAUAAUCAUCCUCCAAGGGCCGGUGAAAUGGGGACGAAAGUUAAUAUUAUAGUAGGCUCACAUGUAUGGGCUGAAGAUGCUGAUAUUGCCUGGGUUGAUGGAGACGCCAUUAAGAUCAAUGGCGAAGAGGCCGAGAUCCAAGCAACCAAUGGGAAAAAGAUCAUUGCAAAUUUGUCGAAAUUAUAUCCUAAAGAUAUGGAAGCAGCUACCAGUGGAGUUGAUGACAUGACCAAGCUCUCCUAUCUCCGUGAGCAAGGAGUUUAGCAGAAUCUGGCGAUCAGGUAUGAACUUAAUGAAAUCUAUACAUACACUGGAAAUAUUCUCAUUGCUGUCAAUCCUUUCCAAAGGUUGCCGCAUUUAUAUGACCCACAUAUGAUGCAACAGUAUAAGGGGCACCAUUUGGAGAGUUAAGUCCACAUGUUUUCGCUGUCGCAGGUGUCGCAUACAGGUACGCAA
Lolium perenne is the source of this 593-nucleotide non-coding RNA. NCBI's taxonomy places the organism in Eukaryota, Viridiplantae, Streptophyta, Magnoliopsida, Poales, Poaceae. The record is from RefSeq and is a predicted model, not a curated record.